Molecule: ribosomal RNA, 297 nt
Filed under: uncultured bacterium
Lineage: Bacteria
Description: partial 16S ribosomal RNA
Rfam family: Bacterial small subunit ribosomal RNA
Source: RNAcentral
AGCCUACGGGGGGCAGCAGUGAGGAAUAUUGGUCAAUGGGCGGGAGCCUGAACCAGCCAAGUCGCGUGAGGGAAGACGGUCCUAUGGAUUGUAAACCUCUUUAGGCGGGGAGCAAUGCCGGGCACGCGUGCCCGGAGGGAGAGUACCCGCAGAAUAAGCAUCGGCUAACUCCGUGCCAGCAGGCGCGGUAAUACGGAGGAUGCGUUCGUUAUACGGGUUUAUUGGGUUUAAAGGGUGCGUAGGCGGAUUUUUAAGUCAGCGGUAAAAUGUCCGGGUUCAACCCGGGUCGGCCGUUGA